RNAcentral lists this long non-coding RNA (910 nucleotides) under Suricata suricatta (meerkat). RNAcentral describes it as "lncRNA (ENSSSUG00005006524.1)". The record is from RNAcentral. Lineage: Eukaryota; Metazoa; Chordata; Mammalia; Carnivora; Herpestidae.
GCUGUUAAAAUUUUAUUCUCAGAAGGUGGAAAAUUACUGAAGAGCUUUCAUCAAAAGGUUGACAUGAUCCAGUUUGUAUUUUUGGAACAUCUGUCCUGCUGAAUGGAGAAAUCAGUUGGAUGGAGGCAAGAGAGAAAGUAGGGAAACCUGGGGGUUGCCCUGCCACACAACAGAUUUGAAAAGGCUGGCAUUCAAAGGAAACAAGUGGAUUUUAAAGCGGGAAGUGUCAUAGCCCCUAUGAAGCAAGGCACUGGAAUCAGCCGCUAUUGUGUGUGCCUGUGUCAUCGUGGCCGCUGGCCACUCUGACGAGGCCAUUUCACUUGUUACCUGUCACAUUGCUGAGGACUCCCAUUUUACAGAUGGAAACUCAGAGACCUAAAAUGACUUGUCCCCUGUUCCACCUGAUCAUAGGUGGGAGAAACAGAAUUUGAACCUGGGAGUCACCUCUGAGGUCCAAGCUGUCCCCAGUACACCAUCCUGCCUCUUCCUUGGGGAGAUGCUCAUUGUCCCACACUGGAUUGGUCCUGAAGCAUGGGACUCCAGCACUGGUUACUACUCUGUCUUCUAAACCUAGAACGGUGUGUGGCAAAAGCAGGCACUCAGAAAGAAGUCUGAGGGAGUGAAUGGCUGACCAACUUGAUGAAGGCAUUGCUGGGUACUCAGUUUGGUCACAAGCUUCACACUCUCUUUGGUUUCUGAUCACCUGGGGGCAAAGUCACUUUCACCUCAGUACCCCUCUCCAUGUAUGGUGUGUGGUUCCUAAAAUACAUGAAGUAGCUGCUGAAUGAAUGCAAGCAUAGAUGCAUGAACAAAUGAACCAGUGAAGGAUGUGGUUAAUGACUACCCCUCUCAUUCUCUCUGUAAUAACAACGCAUCUGUUUUGGAAAGAAGUAAAAAUGCCACAAAUAUA